CAGCAGCCGCGGGAAUACGGAGGGUGCAAGCGUUAAUCGGAAUUACUGGGCGUAAAGCGCACGCAGGCGGUCUGACAAGUCAGAUGUGAAAUCCCCGGGCUUAACCUGGGAACUGCAUUUGAAACUGUCAGACUGGAGUCUUGUAGAGGGGGGUAGAAUUCCAGGUGUAGCGGUGAAAUGCGUAGAGAUCUGGAGGAAUACCGGUGGCGAAGGCGGCCCCCUGGACAAAGACUGACGCUCAGGUGCGAAAGCGUGGGGAGCAAACAGGAUUAGAUACCCGUGUAGUCCCUGUCUCUUAUAC
RNAcentral lists this ribosomal RNA (301 nucleotides) under uncultured bacterium. RNAcentral describes it as "partial 16S ribosomal RNA". It matches the Rfam family "Bacterial small subunit ribosomal RNA", at positions 509 to 807 of the family's 1533-position model. The record is from RNAcentral.